GGCUAACGCUGGCGGCGUGUCUUAGCCAUGCAAGUCGAGCGGACUUAUGGGGUAACUUAUAAGUCAGCGGCGGACGGCGGAGUAACACGUAGCUAACCUACCCUCUGGACGGGGAUAACCUACCGAAAGGUGGGCUAAUACCCGAUGUAGUCAUCCUGUAUAGGGGUGAUGAAAGGUGGGCUUCUGUUUACAAGCUCAUGCUGGAGGAGGGGGCUGCGGCCUAUCAGGUAGUUGGUAGGGUAAUAGCCUACCAAGCCGAUGACGGGUAGCCGGCCUGAGAGGGUGACCGGCCCGAGGGGCACUGAGAUACGGGUCCCACUCCUACGGGAGGCAGCAGGCUAGAAAUUUGGGCAAUGGGGGAAACCCUGACCCAGUGACGCCGCGUGCAGGAAGGAGCCCUUCGGGGUGUAAACUGCUGUCGUGUAGGGAGAAGGGUACUAAGGUGAACAAGUCUUAGUACUUGACGGUACUACAGGAGGAAGCCCAGGCUAACCUCGUG
RNAcentral lists this ribosomal RNA (499 nucleotides) under uncultured bacterium. RNAcentral describes it as "bacterial SSU rRNA". It matches the Rfam family "Bacterial small subunit ribosomal RNA", at positions 28 to 507 of the family's 1533-position model. The record is from RNAcentral.